RNAcentral lists this ribosomal RNA (1849 nucleotides) under human gut metagenome. Its description in RNAcentral is "bacterial LSU rRNA". It matches the Rfam family "Bacterial large subunit ribosomal RNA", at positions 1030 to 2925 of the family's 2925-position model. The record is from RNAcentral.
GAUCUACAGCUAAGGUCCCAAAGUCAGGUUAAGUGGAAAACGAUGUGAAGAUACGCAGACAACCAGGAUGUUGGCUCAGAAGCAGCCACUCAUUCAAAGAGUGCGUAAUAGCUCACUGGUCGAGUGAAGUUGCGCGGAAAAUUACCGGGGCUAAGCUAUACACCGAAAUUGCGGAUUUACAUUUGAAAGACAAUGUAAGUGGUAGAGGAGCAUUCUGUAGUAGGAAGAAGCAUGACCGUAAGGACAUGUGGACGAAGCAGAAGAGAGAAUGCUGGAAUAAGUAGCGAGAGGAUGGUGAGAAUCCAUCCCGUCGAAAAUCUAAGGUUUCCCAGGGAAGGUUCGUCCGCCUGGGGUAAGUCGGGACCUAAGGAGAGGCCGAAAGGCGUAUCUGAUGGAUAGCAGGUUGAAAUUCCUGCACUACGAAUAUACUUAAAAGAUUCAAGGGACGCAGAAGUGGAAGAUAACCAAGUAAGAGGAAAAGCUUGGCUCGCAAGAGGGAGUGAAAAUUAAAAGUAACGAAGUAUCAAGAAGCACGCUGACGAGAAAAGCUUGAAGAUAUUGUAUAUAAGUACCCGUACCGCAAACCGACACAGGUAGAUGAGGAGAGGAUCCUAAGACGAGCGGGAGAAGCAUUGUUAAGGAACUCGGCAAACUAACCCCGUAACUUCGGAAUAAGGGGUGCUGAUGUAACAGUCAGUCGCAGAGAAAAGGCCCAAGCAACUGUUUAACAAAAACAUAGGUUUCUGCUAAAUCGAAAGAUGAAGUAUAGGAGCUGACGCCUGCCCAGUGCUGGAAGGUUAAGGGAAAGAGUUAGGGUUAAACCGAAGCUUAGAACUGAAGCCCCAGUGAACGGCGGCCGUAACUAUAACGGUCCUAAGGUAGCGAAAUUCCUUGUCAGGUAAGUUCUGACCCGCACGAAAGGCGUAAUGAUUUGGGCGCUGUCUCGACAAUGUCCCCGGCGAAAUUGUAGUACUAGUGAAGAUGCUAGUUACCUGCGAUAAGACAGAAAGACCCCAUGGAGCUUUACUGCAGUUUGAUACUGGGUUUCGAUGAUUUAUGUACAGGAUAGUUGGGAGACUAUGAAAGAGAGGCGUCAGCUUCUCCGGAGUCGUUGUUGGGAUACCAACCUUAAGUUAUUGAAAUUCUAACUUGUAAUCGUAAACCGGUUAGAGGACAAUGUCAGACGGGCAGUUUGACUGGGGCGGUCGCCUCCUAAAGAGUAACGGAGGCGCCCAAAGGUUUCCUCAGCGCGGACAGAAAUCGCGCGAAAGAGUGCAAAGGCAGAAGGAAGCUUAACUGAGAGACAGACAUGUCGACCAGAUACGAAAGUAGGGCUUAGUGAUCCGGUGGUUGUAAAUGGAAAUGCCAUCGCUCAACGGACAAAAGUUACCCUGGGGAUAACAGGCUUAUCUCCCCCAAGAGUUCACAUCGACGGGGAGGUUUGGCACCUCGAUGUCGGCUCAUCGCAUCCUGGAGCUGAAGUCGGUUCCAAGGGUUGGGCUGUUCGCCCAUUAAAGCGGUACGCGAGCUGGGUUCAGAACGUCGUGAGACAGUUCGGUCCUUAUCUAUCGCAGGCGUAAGAUAUUUGAAGAGUGCUGUCCUUAGUACGAGAGGACCAGGAUGGACAUACCAAUGGUGUAUCAGUUGUCUCACCAGAGGCACGGCUGAGUAGCUAAGUAUGGAUUGGAUAAACGCUGAAAGCAUCUAAGUGUGAAGCCAACUCUAAGAUAAGAUAUCUCAUAUCGUAAGGUAGUAAGAUUCCAUAAAGACUAUGUGGUUGAUAGGUUGGAGGUGUAAGUGUAGCGAUACAUUGAGCUGACCAAUACUAAUAAAUCGAGGGCUUAACCAC